RNAcentral lists this long non-coding RNA (521 nucleotides) under Lepisosteus oculatus (spotted gar). Its description in RNAcentral is "lncRNA (ENSLOCG00000022005.1)". Lineage: Eukaryota; Metazoa; Chordata; Actinopteri; Semionotiformes; Lepisosteidae. The record is from RNAcentral.
GUUCCCUUGGCUUUAUAAAGUGAGCCCUCUAAGCAAAGCCAGCAUCUGUCUCUUAGUCAGACUGCAAGAAAAACUUCACAAGCAGCAUUCUGGUUUGCUUUAUUCAGCAGCUCCCAAAAAUGGCUCAGUAUGAUGGUGACACAUACAAAAAAGACUCGUACAAGCUGUAUGAAGCUGUCGCUCAGGUUGCCAGUGACUCUCAUGUCCCAAACAUCGCCUACUGCACUGUGGCUGUGGUGGCUGCUCUUGGCAAGUUGAACCUGGUCAGGUGGGAUGUGAAAUCCACAAGGUGUAAAGAAAUGGGAAAUAAAGCCAACCGUUUUGACUUUGCCUUCAAAACGGCUAUCAAAGACAGCAAGGUGGACAUCAAAAAGGCAGAAUUCCAGUGUUACAAUGAGAAUUUCCAACCAUCAAGUGGUUACAAGAAUCUACUGAAGCAGCAGAAUAUUGACCUCAUACCUUUGAAGUUUGAUGACCUAGUGAAGACAGCAGAGCUUAUAAAUAUAAUGGUGAAAGAGAGG